This 520-nucleotide ribosomal RNA is filed under the name uncultured bacterium. RNAcentral's name for it is "bacterial SSU rRNA". It matches the Rfam family "Bacterial small subunit ribosomal RNA", at positions 1 to 518 of the family's 1533-position model. The record is from RNAcentral.
AGGGUUCGAGUUCUGGCGUCAGGAUGAACGCUAGCUGCAGGCUUAACACAUGCAAGUCGAGGGGUAGCAGGAUCUAGCAAUAGAUCGCUGACGACCGGCGCACGGGUGAGUAACACGUAUCCAACCUUCCGUUUACUCGGGGAUAGCCUUUCGAAAGAAAGAUUAAUACCCGAUAGUAUGUUUCUUCCGCAUGGGAGAACCAUUAAAGUUUUUCGGUAAUCGAUGGGGAUGCGUUCCAUUAGGCAGUUGGUGAGGUAACGGCUCACCAAACCUUCGAUGGAUAGGGGUUCUGAGAGGAAGGUCCCCCACAUUGGAACUGAGACACGGUCCAAACUCCUACGGGAGGCAGCAGUGAGGAAUAUUGGUCAAUGGACGAGAGUCUGAACCAGCCAAGUAGCGUGAAAAGGAUGACUGCCCUAUGGGUUGUAAACUUCUUUUAUAUGGGAAUAAAGGAGCCUACGUGUAGGUUUUUGUAUGUACCAUACGAAUAAGGAUCGGCUAACUCCGUGCCAGCAGCUGC